RNAcentral lists this long non-coding RNA (1217 nucleotides) under Castor canadensis (American beaver). RNAcentral's name for it is "lncRNA (ENSCCNG00000012805.1)". The record is from RNAcentral. Lineage: Eukaryota; Metazoa; Chordata; Mammalia; Rodentia; Castoridae.
UUAAUCUAUUUUGGAAAGCCUCUUGUAAUCAAUCAACAUUAACAAUAUGGUGAGUCUUUCAUGGUUUUCAUAUCUUUAGGUUCUAAGAUUCUUGACAUUUCUGAACUUAGCUUAUACAAUAACAAAGGCAUCAGCAUCAUUAUGUUUGAAUGGUUCCUUCUCUUUUAGGAAUCAAGAUAAUCUUGUACCGAAAUGAAGUGUGUGGCUAAGAUUGUACCUGAGGCCUCAGCAGAACGUUCUGUUGGGUGAAAUGAGUUGACAAUUUAUUUCCCAGUCAAAGCUUCCAUUUCUACAUAUGAUCUCUUCCAGAAGAUUAUUUCCUGACAACUCUUCAAGGAGUGACUGGUAGCAGGAAAUUCCUGAAAGGAGAAUCCUCAAAGAGCCACCCUCUAAAGAUGGUGAUCACAAAGAUGAGGCGGAUUUGUUACAGUUGAUACCAUCACUUCUAUACCAGCUUCACCAAAACAACGAUACAGUCUUCUUUCCUGUGUGGCAGCGGAUACCUCCUGCAGAUAAGAAAUGCUUAACUGAGAAAUGCUCAUAUUGGGAUAUCACCGAUGAGACUUUAAUUUGGGCAUGGUGACAAUUUCCCUUGCUGCCGCUUGACUCAAUCCCAGGAGCCUCAGUAGAGGAAAUAAUAUUACACAAGAAGCUCAAAAAUGGUGGAAUUGCUCAGUGCUCCCACAAAUACACAUUUAUAAUUUUUAUUUGCCAUAUGAUAAAUUUUUUUAAAAAAUAGGGGGGAUAUUCAAAAGAAACAGCAUGAUUUUUUUCAAAAACUCAAAAUAUAUUUAAGUAAUACAUAAACUAGGUGCCCUCCUCUCUUUCAGUUUUAUCCCAUAGUUUCCUCUUAAGGAGGUGUGUGCAUUCUUUUAGUGGAUAGAUGUGCACAAACACAUACUCAAGUGAUCUGGGGGAGGGGAUCUAGAAGUGGAGCCAUAUUGUAACACAUUCUUGCAAAUUUCCUCUUUCAUCUAGUAGUCUUUUCAAUGGGCUUUUUCUAUUUCAGUAAUACAUACACAUCUGUGUCAUUUGUUGAAUGACUGCAUGACUGUUCUGUAGAUGAAAUAUAAUUAAAUGUCUUAAGGAUUUCUCACUCAUAGGUAUUUAUGUUAGUACCAAACUUCUGUGCAAUGAAUCUCCCUCAAUAUCAACAACUCUGCAUUUGUCUAUUAUAUUAUAAUAAAAUCACCUAGCAGUUGAAGUACUGGAAUUAA